UUGCCAGCCCGCUCAAGAAACUCAAAUGAAUUGACGGGGGCCCGCACAAGCGGUGGAGCAUGUGGUUUAAUUCGAUGAUACGCGAGGAACCUUACCUGGGCUCAAAUGUAUGUUGACGUAUUCUGAAAGGGAUACUUCUUCGGACAAUAUACAAGGUGCUGCAUGGUUGUCGUCAGCUCGUGCCGUGAGGUGUCGGGUUAAGUCCCAUAACGAGCGCAACCCCUACCUUUAGUUGCCAUCAGGUUAAGCUGGGGACUCUAAAGGAACUGCCUACGCAAGUAGUGAGGAAGGCGGGGAUGACGUCAAAUCAGCACGGCCCUUACGUCCAGGGCUACACACGUGCUACAAUGGCCGAUACAGAGGGCAGCUACCUGGUGACAGGAUGCAAAUCUCCAAAGUCGGUCUCAGUUCGGAUCGGAGUCUGCAACCCGACUCCGUGAAGUUGGAUUCGCUAGUAAUCGCGCAUCAGCCAUGGCGCGGUGAAUACGUUCCCGGGCCUU
RNAcentral lists this ribosomal RNA (500 nucleotides) under uncultured Sphingobacteriales bacterium. Its description in RNAcentral is "bacterial SSU rRNA". It matches the Rfam family "Bacterial small subunit ribosomal RNA", at positions 903 to 1382 of the family's 1533-position model. The record is from RNAcentral. Lineage: Bacteria; Pseudomonadati; Bacteroidota; Sphingobacteriia; Sphingobacteriales.